AGUGAACGCUGGCGGUAGGCCUAACACAUGCAAGUCGAACGGCAGCACAGUAAGAGCUUGCUCUUACGGGUGGCGAGUGGCGGACGGGUGAGGAAUACAUCGGAAUCUACUUUUUCGUGGGGGAUAACGUAGGGAAACUUACGCUAAUACCGCAUACGACCUACGGGUGAAAGCAGGGGAUCUUCGGACCUUGCGCGAUUGAAUGAGCCGAUGUCGGAUUAGCUAGUUGGCGGGGUAAAGGCCCACCAAGGCGACGAUCCGUAGCUGGUCUGAGAGGAUGGUCAGCCACACUGGAACUGAGACACGGUCCAGACUCCUACGGGAGGCCGCAGUGGGGAAUAUUGGACAAUGGGCGCAAGCCUGAUCCAGCCAUACCGCGUGAGUGAAGAAGGCCUUCGGGUUUUAAAGCCCUUUUGUUGGGAAAGAAAAGCAGCAGGUUAAUACCCCGAUAUUCUGACGGUACCCAAAGAAUAAGCACCGGCUAACUUCGUG
RNAcentral lists this ribosomal RNA (492 nucleotides) under uncultured bacterium. RNAcentral describes it as "partial 16S ribosomal RNA". It matches the Rfam family "Bacterial small subunit ribosomal RNA", at positions 29 to 507 of the family's 1533-position model. The record is from RNAcentral.